This 400-nucleotide ribosomal RNA is filed under the name uncultured bacterium. RNAcentral describes it as "bacterial SSU rRNA". It matches the Rfam family "Bacterial small subunit ribosomal RNA", at positions 29 to 431 of the family's 1533-position model. The record is from RNAcentral.
AUUAAACGCUGGCGGCAUGCCUUACACAUGCAAGUCGAACGGCAGCACGGGGGCAACCCUGGUGGCGAGUGGCGGACGGGUGAGUAAAGCAUCGGAACGUAUCCUGGAGUGGGGGGAUAACGUAGCGAAAGUUACGCUAAUACCGCAUAUUCUGUGAGCAGGAAAGCAGGGGAUCGCAAGACCUUGCGCUCUGGGAGCGGCCGAUGUCGGAUUAGCUAGUUGGUGGGGUAAAGGCCUACCAAGGCGACGAUCCGUAGCGGGUCUGAGAGGAUGAUCCGCCACACUGGGACUGAGACACGGCCCAGACUCCUACGGGAGGCAGCAGUGGGGAAUUUUGGACAAUGGGCGCAAGCCUAAUCCAGCCAUGCCGCGUGAGUGAAGAAGGCCUCGGUUGUAAGAC